Molecule: ribosomal RNA, 622 nt
Filed under: Sphingobium sp. Air302
Lineage: Bacteria; Pseudomonadati; Pseudomonadota; Alphaproteobacteria; Sphingomonadales; Sphingobiaceae
Description: bacterial SSU rRNA
Rfam family: Bacterial small subunit ribosomal RNA
Source: RNAcentral
CGAGAUCUUCGGAUCUAGUGGCGCACGGGUGCGUAACGCGUGGGAAUCUACCCUUGGGUUCGGAAUAACAGCGAGAAAUUGCUGCUAAUACCGGAUGAUGACGUAAGUCCAAAGAUUUAUCGCCCAGGGAUGAGCCCGCGUAGGAUUAGGUAGUUGGUGUGGUAAAGGCGCACCAAGCCUACGAUCCUUAGCUGGUCUGAGAGGAUGAUCAGCCACACUGGGACUGAGACACGGCCCAGACUCCUACGGGAGGCAGCAGUGGGGAAUAUUGGACAAUGGGCGAAAGCCUGAUCCAGCAAUGCCGCGUGAGUGAUGAAGGCCUUAGGGUUGUAAAGCUCUUUUACCCGGGAUGAUAAUGACAGUACCGGGAGAAUAAGCUCCGGCUAACUCCGUGCCAGCAGCCGCGGUAAUACGGAGGGAGCUAGCGUUAUUCGGAAUUACUGGGCGUAAAGCGCACGUAGGCGGCUUUGUAAGUAAGAGGUGAAAGCCUGGUGCUCAACACCAGAACUGCCUUUUAGACUGCAUCGCUUGAAUCCAGGAGAGGUGAGUGGAAUUCCGAGUGUAGAGGUGAAAUUCGUAGAUAUUCGGAAGAACACCAGUGGCGAAGGCGGCUCACUGGACU